This 83-nucleotide transfer RNA is filed under the name Sphingomonas sanxanigenens DSM 19645 = NX02. RNAcentral's name for it is "tRNA-Tyr (GTA) (tRNA-Tyr-GTA-2-1)". Lineage: Bacteria; Pseudomonadati; Pseudomonadota; Alphaproteobacteria; Sphingomonadales; Sphingomonadaceae. The record is from RNAcentral.
GGGGAGGUAAAGCCGGUGGCUCCGGCAGUCGCACUGUAAAUGCGGCCCUUCGGGGAGUGGAUCGAAACCACACCUCCCCACCA